GUGCUCUUCUAUGGAUACAUUCCAAUCUUUCUGUGCCUUUCCUAAAAUCUGAUACACAGAACUAAAAUCUCUAUUCCUUCCCAAAAAAUUGUUAGUUAGGGGGCCAGCUGAGUGGCUUAGUGGUUUGAGAACCAGGUCUAGAGAUGGGAGGUCCUAGGUUCAACUCUGGCCUCAGACACUUCUCAGCUGUGUGACCCUGGGUAAGUCACUUACCCCCAUUGCUUAGCUCUUACCACUCUUUUGCCUUGGAACCAAUACACCAGGGGUCCCCAAACUAUGGCCCUUGGGCCACAUGUAGCCCCCUGAGGCCAUGUAUCGGGCCCCCACCACACUUCUGGAUGGGGCACCUCUUUCAUUGGUGGUCAGUGAGAGGAGCUCUGUAUGUGGUGUCACUCACCUACAGUACUACUUCUGGUGACGUAAUCCUUUGUAUGGUGCCUUAGAAUGAGGUGCUGCACAAAGGAUUAUGUGGCUUCACAAUGGAAGAUGUCAGCAUGGUGAGCAGCGAUCUGGGGGAGGGAAUUCUGCACUGUGUAUACUGCUGCCCAGUUAGGGUUAGAGUUAGGCUUUUAUAGUCCUCCAAUGAUCUGCGGGACAGUGAACUGGCCCCCUGGGUAAAAAGUUUGGGGACCCCUGCCACACAGUAUAGAUUCUAAGGCAGAAGGACUUUUCAAUUGGAAGGAAUAUCAGAAAUCAUGUAGUCCAGUGUCCCCGGAGAAGAGAAUGACAGGCCACUCCAGCACCUUUGCCAAGAAAACUCCAAAUGAGAUCAUGAAGAGUAGGACAUGAUGGAAAACAAGUGAAGGACAACAAAAGUCAGCCUCCAAAUCCUACCGAAAUCUGCCCCACAACAUCCCUAAUAGGUAACAUCUUUGGACCUGGAGUGUUAUUCCUAAAAGUGUUUAUCAGAAGAUAGGUGGCAUGUGAAAUGGACUAUGAAGGAAGGCUACAUAGUGAAAUGGAUAAAGAGUUGGCCUUUGGGUUAGGAAGAACUGGGUUUAAGUCUCUCUUUAGACAAAUACUGGCUCUGAGAUCCUGGACAAGUUUCAUCAUUGUUAUUACGAGAAUGGCCUUUGGAUUACUAUGGAGAUAG
Molecule: long non-coding RNA, 1093 nt
Filed under: Monodelphis domestica (gray short-tailed opossum)
Lineage: Eukaryota; Metazoa; Chordata; Mammalia; Didelphimorphia; Didelphidae
Description: lncRNA (ENSMODG00000046109.1)
Source: RNAcentral